This 460-nucleotide ribosomal RNA is filed under the name uncultured bacterium. RNAcentral's name for it is "partial 16S ribosomal RNA". It matches the Rfam family "Bacterial small subunit ribosomal RNA", at positions 338 to 795 of the family's 1533-position model. The record is from RNAcentral.
CCUACGGGUGGCAGCAGUGAGGAAUAUUGGUCAAUGGGCGGGAGCCUGAACCAGCCAAGUCGCGUGAGGGAAGAAGGUACUGAGUAUUGUAAACCUCUUUUGCCAGGGGACAAAGGCGGCCACGGGUGGCCGUAAGAGGGUACCUGGAGAAAAAGCAUCGGCUAACUCCGUGCCAGCAGCCGCGGUAAUACGGAGGAUGCGAGCGUUAUCCGGAUUUACUGGGUGUAAAGGGCGUGUAGCCGGGAAGGCAAGUCAGUUGUGAAAUCCGGAGGCUCAACCUCCGAAUUGCAUUUGAAACUGUUUUUCUUGAGUACUGGAGAGGCAGACGGAAUUCCUGGUGUAGCGGUGAAAUGCUUAGAUAUAAGGAAGAACACCGGUGGCGAAGGCAGUCUGCUGGACAGCAACUGACGGUGAGGCGCGAAAGCGUGGGGAGCAAACAGGAUUAGAUACCCGUGUAGUC